This 391-nucleotide unclassified non-coding RNA is filed under the name soil metagenome. RNAcentral's name for it is "partial contains 5.8S ribosomal RNA, internal transcribed spacer 2, and large subunit ribosomal RNA". The stretch from base 1 to 122 matches the Rfam family "5.8S ribosomal RNA", at positions 35 to 154 of the family's 154-position model. The record is from RNAcentral.
GAUGAAGAACGUAGCGAAAUGCGAUACUUGGUGUGAAUUGCAGAAUCCCGUGAACCAUCGAGUCUUUGAACGCAAGUUGCGCCCGAAGCCAUUAGGCCGAGGGCAUGCCUGCCUGGGCGUCACACGUCGUUGCCCCCCCAUCUACUCCUUCGGGAUUGCGGGGGGCGGAUGAUGGCCUCCCGUGCGCCUAGUCGCGCGGUUCGCAUAAAAGCCAAGUCCUCGGCGACGCACGCCACGACAAUCGGUGGUUGCGAAACCUCGGUUGCCCGUCGUGUGCGGUCGUCGCGCAUCGAGGGCUCGAAAAAAUUGCCGGGCUCCGGCUCGGCUUUCAACGCGACCCCAGGUCAGGCGGGGUUACCCGCUGAAUUUAAGCAUAUCAAUAAGCGGAGGA